ACCAGCGGCCGCAUCCGGCGCGGACUGCGGAAGAAGGCGUGGCGCCGGGCGCCCAGGGCGCUCAGCUGCUUCAUCCUCCGCUCCUUGGAGCGCCGGUUCUGGAACCAGACCUGCAGCACAUGGCGGCGGGGUGAGGCCACCGAGACUUCACCCCCGACCCCGGGGUGCUCCGGGCCUAGCCAGCACCCCUCCACCGCCCGGCUAGCCGACACCGCGCGCGCGCGCUUGUGUGUGUGUGUAGGGUAGUGGUGACGGUGCGAUCUCUGACUAGGACCACUCAGGGCGGACCCUGAGCCAAUGGUGAGCAGGAAUCCCACAGGAGGACCUGAACAGGCCGCUGUGUCUGGAGGGGGACAGUUGUGGUAUAGCUGGAGUUUUUCUAACAGUCACACUAUCACAGUUACCGCUUCUCUGGGGCUGUACACACAUAGAGACUACGCCUCUCCAAAAUAAUGUCAGACACACACCGCGUUUCCAUUUCACGGUCUCUUGCAGCAACCCUCCCCCCAACCAUGACAGAGACACAGAAGCAGCCUAUGAUACCAAAACCUACAAUCUCCUUUUCACACCCAUGUACAAUCUCACAGUGCCAAACAUAGUUAUCCACAGCCUCUUGCCAAUAGUGACACAGACACACGACUUCUCAUUCACGUACACAGGUUCUCACAGUCUCCUGUAGGCCUCAGGGCCUUCCGUGUUGCACACAUGUGCACAUGCACAGCCAGCCUCCCAGGCAGGUACAUCCACCCACAGCCACGCAGGGCAUCAGGCCCGGUGAACCGGGAACCUGGCACUGAGCCAGAGACUCCCCCUGGCCUGGAGCUUCAGCAGUCUCAUCUCCUUUCCGCCCACAGGCCCAGCUGCCUCCAGGUAGGCUCCCAUCCCCAAAUUUCACUCCAACCCGCUGGAAGCAGAGCUGACUCCCGGCGGAACCACCUCUCUUUGGAGGGGAAGUCCCUGAUCUGGGGCUUGUCUAAUUGGAGCAAGCGAUCACAAAGUUGGAGUUGCAGACUUAGGAAGAGUUCACUUUGUGCAGAAGGCAGAGGGACUGAUUGACUCUGGGGGACACUGAGACUUCUCUGACCCUUCCGAACCCGAGGUGGGGUGGGGUAUGUGCAGAAAGAGGGCUCCCCACUCUCUCCAGAGUGUUCAACAGUUCUCCUCCUCCAGCCUCUGGCUGAACUCCCGUCCCUCCCCCUCCACUGCCACGAUCACCUCUGUUGGGCUGGGAAGAGGACUUUCUAGAUGCUCGAAGGCAUCAGGCAUUUCAUAGGUCCCGCAGGCUCGGGGUGUGUCUAGGCACCCCACCUCUGGACUCCAUCUCUCACUUCUCUCUGGAUUCUGGGCUCUCCCGGCUCGGCCUGGGUGCCCAAAGUGGCAGUGUGGGCCUCUAUGGGAUGGAGAGGCGCGCCGGGGCCUGACCUGAAUGACGCGCAUGUUGAGGCCGGUCUCCUGCGCCAGCUGCUCGCGGAUGUGGCGGGUGGGCUUGGGUGUAGCAGCGAAGGCGGCCUUCAGCGUCUCCAGCUGCUUGGCUUUGAUGGUGGUGCGCGGUCCCCGCCGCUUGGCGCCCAGGUUCUGGUCGUCAUUCUCGUUGCUACCCCCUUCCUUGUCCGACACGUUGGCGCUCUCCGAGUCCUUGGCGUCGUCCUGCGACGGGUCUUGGGAAUCCGGAGACAAACUGGGGUCACUGCCCGUGGUGGCUAAGAGGGAAAGGACAGAUGAGCCGGGGCCUUGGCGAGCCUUCCUCCCCCAGGACCCGCUUGCACCUAGCCAGCCAGGAAUUGGGGCCUCACCCGAGUGAAGGCUGUUCUCUUUGGCAACACUGCUGUUACUUAGGUAAUCCUCUUUGCAGACGAACUUAUUCUCGUCGAUGAUGUAGAGUUCCUCGCCAGUGGAGAGCUGCUUGUUACACAUCAUGCAGGUGAAGCAGUUCAGGUGAAACACUUUGCUCCGCGCUCUCCGCACCAGGUCGCUAGGGGAGAUGCCCUGCGCGCAGCCUGCGCAUUUGGUACCGAAACACCUGCGGGGGGUGGGGGUGGGGGGCGGGGGCGGGGAUGGGUCAGCCAGGGGCAAGGGACAGGCGGAGAGAAAGAUGACAGCGAGAAAGAGGGAAGAUGUGAAAAGUGGAGGAAGUAGGAGAGGAGGAAUGGAGCACAGAAAGAAGGGAAGAGAGAGAUAAAGAGAGGCAGAAUUCCGGUUAAGCAGGUGAGGAGGCAGCAGGAGAGAGAGCGCGGCACCAGGGAAGAGUCAGGGAGGAGAUACACGCGGUUAGAGCCAGGGGCCCAAGCUACCCCCCAAGCCCCAGCCUCACUCCCAGCGUUAUCCCAGAGGAAAGAUGCAUCGUCUAAAGAAGGUGGCAAGGCAGUGACCUGUGUGGGCGGGGGGAACAGGGGCACUUAUUUUCCGAUUAGAUUCAGAAAAGUCGAAUUACAAUUAGAACUCUAUACAAACGUGCGCGGAGCGCCGCUUUUCUCUCCUUCAUCGCAAAAGGACCCGCACAUAGGCGUGGGGUUGGCGAUGUCUAGCCCCGCUGUUGGUAAACAAACAUAGCCGCGGGGAGCCCCCCCCCCCCACCCCGUAGCCUUAGCUGGGCCGCCGCCACGCUCUUGCCUAAAGCGGGACAGGUUGGCAAAAGCGGGAGCUGCGGGAGCUGGCUCUGGGCGCUCUGCCGCGGGUUGUGGAAGCCGGGCUCAGGGACCCACUGGCAGCGGGUACGAGUACGGUUUGCCACCCUCCCGCUAUGAUCCAGUCCUUGAGGAAAACCGGGCAGCCCGCGGAGGCUCAGAGGCUCAGCCUGCGCGUUCUCCCGAAAUACCAGCGAGCACGGAGCUUUGCUUCAUGGUUCCACGCAACCCAACCCCAGCCACGAGUCCUGGAGCGGCACUGGGGACAGCGCGUCUUGGCCCUCUGAGUGGCUUUGAAUCCCUCUUCCUCCUGCUCCCUGGUUUGAACUAUGACCACAAACUCAGAAAAGCAGAGACCAAGUCAGCCGAGUAAAUUGCGAUAUUUCACAUCCGUAGGGUGGAAUUACAAUUCGCAUUUGUGCCCGUUCUUCUCUGUUGACUUGUGUGUUUGUGUGAAUGGAGCGGCAAAAUUGUGAGUGUACGAUAAUAUAAUUAAAAUGCUAAACGAAUAAGUGGGGUAGGGAGAAGUCUCCCCACCAGCAAGCUGGAGGUCUCGGCUUUCCCCCAGGUUUCAUCAAGGAGGUUGCUGGCUGUGGCUGGCAGUUUCCUAGGAGGACUACUGAGCGGAGCCCGUGGGAGUCGGAGUCGCCUGGGGCUGAAGCCGAACCACCAGACAACUUCGGCAGCCAGGGAAGCAGGAAAAAGCUCCGGGCACUUCGCAGGCUACAGUGCAGCUGUUUGUCCAGGUCUGCACUCGGAGGCAUGUCCGGGUUUGGGGAAGACCCCCGGGCGUGCAGGAUCGGCUUUAAGGCCGAGUUCUUUCCUGCCGCUGACAGGGCAGUUGGCCCAGACACUCUACGCAAAAGGCUCGGAGCUUCCCGCCAAGACCGCUCGGGGUCGGAAAAGGUAGUGGCUGGGAGGGAGCCUGGGCUCUGCCUGGAGGGCAAACAACCCCGAAGGCCUGGAGAAUGCAGUUGCUGCAGAGCUUGGCUCCGGGAAAGACAGCAGUCCGGGCUACAACGCCCGAGGCUGCCCUGUCUCUUCCAAGCUUGAAGGGGCUUCUGGGCCGAGUCAGGCUCAGACCCUUUCUUCCCAGGCACAUGCAGCCAAACCCAGACCCAUAGUUUCCAGGAUGCAAGCAGGGCCGCGUCCCGGGCUCCCAGCGCGCCAGCUGGCGGAGAGGCGGGCGCUCGCGGGACUUGGCUGCCCUCUCUAGAAGCAGUUCCUAACUGGGCAGCGAGGCCACGCUAACCUCUGAUCCGAAGCUGGCCGGGAAGGGCCCGCGGGGAGGUAGCAGCAGAGGCGUGGGAGGAAAGUACUCACCGGAAGAAGUCGUUCUUGCAGUACAGUUUGCCUUCCCUGGAGAAGCACUUCUCGGUCAGGUUGCAUUUACAUUCACAGCACUGGACGCACUUGACGUGCCAGGCCCUGUCCAGCACGUUCAAGAGAAAGCGGUCCAGGAUGGGCCUUUUGCAGCCGGCACAGUGAACCAUGGUCUUUGGUUUGGUCUGAUGAGGCCCAGAGAGAGAGAGGGGCAAAGUAGAGCCCAGGGGAUGACUCCUGAAGACAACCGGCACGAGCUCCCCAGUCUCUCCAAAAAGAGGACACACACUCGGCCGUGCAAGCCAAAACUCGCACCAGGAAAUCAAAGUAGGGUGGAGGAAACGAGGCUGAUCGGGGCCUGGGGGGUGUCUCAGUGAAGUGUGCAGCCGGGGAGUCCUGGGGCCCCGGGCUGGAGCGGCGCCGCCUGAGCUCCCGGGGCGAGGAAAAGAAGUCUCAGGCGGGAGAGAAUGCGACCCUUCUGCUCAGAGCCCGCGGAGGAGUGAAGGUCAGCGAGAACGGCGGCGGGAACGGAAAUAAAUAAAUAAAAACGGAGAAGAAGAAGAAGACGACUUGCCGAGCUCGGGUUGCGAGGAAAGCGCCGCUGAGUUCUCCGGCGCUUGAGGUAGAGCUGUCAGAAGUCAAAGUGCAUCUGCUUUUGUCGGGGUAUGAGGGCGAGUGUGUGCGUGCCAGGCUGCCCACCACUGGGAUUUCCCCCCUCUUUUUUUAAAAAAGGGAAGGAAAGAACAAAAGGAGCAGAGAAGCUUUGGAUCCUAAACUGCCGGCAUCGCGCCGCGGGUCUGGACGCGCCGAGCGCCCGCGCUGGGCCUGGGGGAGGGGGCGAGGGCCGACCGCGGGAGAAGGGAAAGAGGGGAGGGUAGGAGGAAGAUCUUGGUGUUGAUUGCUGUUGUUGCUUAGGUUUCCCCGCUUUUGGAGAAGUGUUUGUGUCAAUCGAAAACAGAGAGGGACAACUCCGUGCGGAGGCAGCCAGGCGCACUCGCUCCUUCCCUACCGCCCCAGCCCAGUCACCUCGGCCCUUGGCCUGCCUGGCGGCCUCCGUGUCCUCAGGGCGACCCUCCCUGCGCCCGGGCUCCUUCGGGAGGCACUACGGGCUGGCUUCUCACCGCGCCUGGCCGUGCAUCGUGGCUCCAGUCACAACUCGCGGCCGCCUGGGCGCACAGCCCCGCAUCGCUCGGCCCACGCUCUGUCUGCCUCCGUCUAACCCCACAGUCGCUCGACUUUCUCUCCUUUUCCUUUUCCCCUUCUUUUUUUCGUUGUGGUGGCAAAUCUGGGUUUCCUUUCUAGCCUCCUUCCUUUUUUUGUGUGUGUUUCUUUUGCAGCGGGAGGAGUCGGGGAGGAGGGGGGCAGCUUGGAGAGCUUAAAAAAAAAAAAUGUCCUGGCGCAGCGGCUACAGUAGGCCGGCGGCUGGAACGGCUCGGCGCGGACCGCCGCUGUCGCCGCCCGGGCCGCGGCUCGUUGCUGGCCCUCCCCGGGCGCGUCCCUCAGUCCCUGGUCUCCUGGCCCAGUCGCCGCCCCGGUGCGUCUCUCCCCAGCUCCGGCGGCUCGGUCACUGCUCCUGGCUGUUGGCUGAGCUCUGGAAGCCCCCUCGCCUUAAUGCAGCGCCCGCCGACGUCACUGCGGCCUGCGACCAAUCAGCGCCUCGCGGUCCCUCUGUAAACCAUUCUGCAUCCCCCGGCCCGGGAGAGUGCGGGGAGACCGCGUUUAGAGGAUCAGUGGCGGCGGCACCCGCGGCCCCGCGCGGCGCGGACGGCGGGCAGCACCGUGCCUGGGCCCCCUCCUGCUCCGAACAGCCCAAGGAGCAGAAAAGAGUGACAAGGCCGUGAAAGGAGGCGCCUGGGGCGUAGCCGGCUCUAGGAGGUUACCCCAUGCGGAGUACACACCCUGCUACACCCAUCCCGGAGGAGGGAGGAAAUAGCCAGCCCGGAGCACCCCUGGACUCUGCCGGUCCCAGAGGCCACGCAAACUCCGCCCAGACUCGGUGAGGCCGCGGUAAUGCCACGCAGGGAACUGCGUGGAUAAGGUCGCUCGGAUCUGAGCGCCAAGGUCUCCCGCCUCUCCUUCCCGUCUAGUUCUCUCCGGACUCAAAUUGCCUUAAUCUCACCCAUCACUCUGUCAUGGAAAUGAUCUACUCGUGUGCAGUACUUUACAGCUUGUAUCACGGUCUCCCCUGAACCGUAUAGCAAGAGGGUGGUGGGGGGUGGAAGAGAAGGGUACCAUCUCCACUUUCCCGGCCAGGAGGCCCAAGUUAGGAGGCUUGUCCGAGAUCCCUAGGUCAGCGCACUAUUUAAGGUGAGAAGUUGGGUGGAGAGCUUGGCACCUUGCUCCAGUGUGCACUUUGCGCCUGGCCAUGUUUUAUAAGCAAGGGGGGCUUGGGCUGUUUAAGGGGGAGCAGGGACCGCAGGGCCAGGAAAGGGCAGCAUCCGGCAGGCCGGGGCGUCACGGUGUGUGCCUGGCCUGGGUAAACAACUCCGGCUUCCCACGAGCGCUGGAGGGACCCUGGGCAUGGGGCAGGGGCGUGGGGGAGGGGGGGCAGGGGCGUGGGGUGGGGCAGGGAGCGGGUGGAACAGCGAGGUCAAGCGUGGAGAUUCCAGUUGCGAGUCAGCUCCGCGCCGCGGAGCAAAGACAGGACGUGGAUAAUCUUGGGAGCGAGACGCUGAGCUGAAGAACAGAAAAGAGAGAUAGAGGCAGAAGUGAGGAGAGAGGGACAGGAAAAGAAAAUAAAGGCAGAAAACCAGAGAAAAGAUGAGACGGAGUGCGGAAAAGCAGGCGGGGAUAAAGAAAGGAAAGAUCUGUCGGGGAAAUGCGGGGAGAAGUGGAGGAAAAGAAACAGAAAAUAGACCCAGAGAGAGACCCUGCCACGAAGAAGGCCGCGGGGACGGGCGCGGAGCCGAGGGCCCUGCAGGCACGGAGGGGGCGUCCCGCGGGUCUGGGGGUGUGCGGCUUUGGGACAGGCGAGUGCGUGCUGAGAGAAGGAGGCAGCGUGUUUUGUGGGAGACUCUGCGCCCGUGGAAAAGCGGCUCUGGGCAGGAAUCCAACAAAUAAAUAAAACGUCUAAGACGGCGUGACAACAAUGUGUAUUUGGGUGCGUGCCCGUGUUCCUCUGUCUGAACACAGUCACACCCAGUAAGGAAGACAAACGGGGCUCGUGCCUCACAGUAAUUAAUCCUCUCACUAAUUGACUCUCUCCCCUUACCUAAUGGCGGUGGUCACUGCCGAUAUCUGGAGAGACAUCAAGUAGGGGGAGACAGAGAGAGAGAACCCCAAAGCUAACGACCUUUGGGACUGAGAUUGAGUUUUUUCUGGACUUGGCAGCUCUAAGCCCCUGCCCCCACCUCCACUUUUGGGCAGAGUUCCAUAGAUAUUGCUGCCUUCCUUCCCCCUCCAGGUUUUGGGCAGCAUUAAUAAAGAUCUCCUCAGAUUAGGGUGAUGUGGUUACACACACUGAAGCCCUUCUACCGCCCUCCACCUUGGGAGAUCAGUUUCAGAGGCUGAAAGCCACCCCUGUCCCUGGGACAUUUCUUACCUCCCUGCAAUACCAGCUCCCCCUCCCAUGUUGUUCCCCCAGGGGCCCAGACCCUGCACCCUCUUCUUUCAGGCAGUACUAACUCUUCCAAGGACCUGGGCGGUGUCCCGCAGUCCCCUAAGGCAGGUGAGGUUUUGAACGGGCUGAGAAGCAGUCUGGGGUUGAUGGAAGGAGAGCGGUGGGAGGUCAGGGCAAGGAUGGGGAGAGGCUUCCAGAGACAACCUUCCUCAGACUUGGGUUGAGAGACACAGAGGCGCAGAGAGGCGCAGUUGCCACCAGGCAAGAGAGAGGCCUCUAGGGACAAAGGAGGGAAAGGUGGGCUCUAUGCACUGUGGGAAGGAGCGCCAAGUGUGUGAGAGGCAGGAAGGUGGUCAUGUCUCUGUGACUGUGAGGGUGACAGUUCUGGUCUGUCUGUGUGAGCAUGGGGAAGCCCCCUAUGUUCCCUCACAGCACCCUCAGUUCUCAGACUGGGGAGAAGAGGCAGGGGACUGGUCUGGGACUUGAUGGUCCCCUUGGUAGCUGAGUUGGCUGGAAGGGGUCCAACACCCACAGUCUGUCUGGUAAUGCAGCUUUGAGGCUUAGGUUUGGGAGGUGAAUGUCAACUCUCACCCCUGUGAGGUGGCAGCUUUGCUCUGUUGGCCUCCUCAGAGGCUAAAUAAAGAAAUGCUGAGAUCUAUAAACCACCCAGCCCAGAGAGAAAAAGGAGGGAGGAAGGGCAGCUCCCUAGAAAAAAAUCCACCCCCUCCCCACCACUAAACACAUUUUUAAUUGUCCCUUGGGAACAUUUGUACAUUUGACCAAAGCAAAUCUCAAAGCAGCAGCAGCAAAAUGAGUCAGAGGGGCUGGUGGUCCAGAGAGAGCUGGGGAUUGGAGAUGGGGAGGUGAGGAGAGGUGGCAGGCAUGUUUGGGAAGGUGAGAAACUUGGCUCCUUUCCCACCAUCUCUGUCAAGCUUUAGAAAGAAAGUGAGCAGGAGAAAUAAAGUUCCAGGGGAAAGAAAGAGAAGGGCAUAUAAAAGGCAAAUCCAACCCAGAAAGGAAAGAAAGUGAAGAAGAAAGAAAAAGGCAGGGAGUGGGGAGAGACUAUAAUAAAAGAGGGUGAAGGCGGCCCCAGGAGGCUGGGCCUCGUCCCAAACCAUCCGUCUUCAUUGUCUCCGUGUGUGCAAAGGCAACUCUGGCAUAAGGAAAACCCACUAUUGGAGCCGAGGCUUUAUUUUAUAUCCUAUACAUCAGGAGGGAGGCAAAGCUUUAUUUUCGCCAAGAGACAGAUAUUUUAUUUCUCUCUUACGGUUUUAUGUGUGAGAGAUGUCAGGUUGCCACAAUGGAUGGCUAAUGCAUAGGCAAGAGGAAGCCGUGUUGGCAUGCUGUGUGUCAUGGGGUCUUGGGGGGGUGAGCGGGCCUGGGAUUUAGGGCUGAUGAGACACUCUGGGGGAUUUGUGCUAAAACAUCUCUCUUCAUAAAUCCAGAAGCAUGGUCAGCUCAACAGGGAGAAGAAGGAGUUUUAGAGGGAAAAGAGUUGGGCUUAGUAAUAAAUGAAUACACAAAGGAACCGCUUACCUUCCAACAGGCUCGGGCAACAGGGGCACGACAGCCCCAUGGAAAUGCAGACACCCAUGUCCACGCACACAAGCGCCAUUCACAGGGAAGUAUUUUCCUGACACGAAAUCCAAUGUCAGUUUCCUUUCCUUUCCCCGUUUUAUAUUUUUCCACCCCCCUUCACCAGAAAUCUUUUUUAACCUCCUCAGAGCCUUGGGGGAAAAGAGCCAUUAAUUUGCAAAUCAUCUGAUCUGUGAAAGGAUCAAGAUGCCUGGUUUUCACUGCUAAAUCCAACGUCUUGAGUGGACACAGAGGCACACACAAGCCCGUCAUGCUGCCAACCCUUGGGAGCAUAGGUGCCAGAUCUGAAGCCAAGAAAAGACUCCCUCUCCUCCCGGGACCUGCAGCUGAAUUAAGCCUUAGAUUCCAAACUGCAUAAUGUUCAUAUUUUUAAACCUGGAGAGAAGUGGAGAGAUGAAGGGGGACAAAAAGAGGGGGAACUUUGUUAAUUAACGUGUUCCAUUCAGGACUUAGACUAAUUGUCUUCCCCACUUCCAGCCGCCCCCCAACCCAAGCCAUUUCUUACAGGAGUUGCUUUUAUUCAUUCUCAUGUUCUACUUUUCUCAUUUUUGGAUUAAUAUCUACUUGUUUAAUAUCUACUGUGGCGCAAAAACGUGACCACGCUCUUUCUUUUCAGAGGGUUGGAAGCAGCACAGGAUUCCUAGACAAGGAGCUUGGAGACUUGGCUACACUGUCCCUGGCCAUUGGGGAAGACGUUUACCCUUUCCGGGCCUCAGUUUUCUCAUCUGUAACAUGAGGUGAUUCGGCUAAAUGAUUACUGAGGUCCCUUCCAGCUCCGACCUCCUCUGGCCGAAUGAGAUAAUGUGUGAAAACACUUUGUGAACACUAACACCAGACAGAUGCCAGGGAUCAUUAUUGCAAUUCUAAUCAAUCCUCUUUUCUCCACAUGGAUCUUGGCUGUUUAGUGCCAGCAAGCAGGCUAAAGGGGGCUGAAAGCAAGAAAGCUUAGCGGACAUGGAAAAGCUCUGUGCAGUGGGAGGAAAAAAAAAAAAAACCCUGCAUCUCCAGAAACAUUGUGUCUCUGUGUGCCCCCUGAGGCCUAGUGGGAAGGGUUGGGGAAGAGGAGGCCUGACUUGGUAUGACCCAUUUUGGUCUACAUGGCGGCAGAGAGUGUAUUUCUUCAAAAGCAUUGUUGGUCUCCAAGUGACUGACAUGGGAACCUGAUGGGAAGGCGAUUUGCAAUUGUUUUUUUCCAGGAAGAAAGAAAGAGCAAGGUGUAGCUGAUUAGCAAGUUAAUUAUUUCAGUACCCCAAGGGUUCCAGUGUGGUGGUAAGUUGUCCAGCCCUGGUGUAAUUUCACAGUCUGUGCAUUUCCUGGCGAGCACCUGGGGUGCCCGAGUCUGUCUCUUUCUCCUUCCACCUGCCUUGUGUCUUCCUGACACACCUGGGGAGAUGAGCAGGGGCUGGGGAGGUUGAUGGUACAAGGUACACAUUCGGCUUAGGCUGCGGGUGGGGGCCACGCCAAGAACAGGGUGGAGGAAGCCCAACUGAUGCCAUCUACCUCCGCUGAGUGUUUAAUUAUCUGGCCCUUUCUUCUUUAAAAAAAAAUCUUUUGUUUAAUAAAUAUUAAUGAGGCGGGUUAUCGGAAAGUGUAGUUGCCAUGAGGUUAUUUCCCCAGCCUUAGCAUGGAAAGAAACUGGGUUUGAGGAGCCUUUCGGCCCCUCACCGCCUUCUACCCCCACCAGCUCUCCCGUGCUCACGUUCCGCAGCAGCUCUUCCGGUCUCACUUCAAGAUUUGAUUUCCCCUUGGGGGAGGGUAGGGGAGGGAAGAUCAUGUGGUCAAAUGGACACUUCCCCUCGGAGAGAUAAGUUGGAGAUGUGAACAUUAGCCUCAAGAAUUAACAGCUUCUGCCGCUCUCUGCUCUCGGGGCUGAGAGGGCCAGCCCCCCGCUGCUCCUUCCGCGAUGGAUGAAGGGAGGGCUCUACAGUUUACUUAAGAGUGGUCCCAUCUGCUCAGACUGGCCUUUCAUAAGGGGAGGGAUUUAUGCAGUGUCCUUGUGCACAGACCUGGGAUUUGGCUGAAAACCUUGGGCCUCUGAGAAUAUUACUGAACGCUAAAACGUUCAGCCAUGGAGAUGAUUCAUGAUUUUGUCUGCAUGGACAGUGUGUGUGUGUGUGUGUGUGUGUGUGUGUGUGUGUGUGUUUGUUUGGGGUUGCACGCACAGUGAUGAUGGGUGCUAUUCACCGUUCUCACUUUGAAUCCAAAUGUUAGGAAACUUUUUUUCCUUCUGUAUUCACUCAGGAGACAGGCCCUGGCACCAGGCUCUGGAGACCCCACUUCCUGACUCCAGCGGUGCGAAGAUGAUACAAUACUUUCUGGUGCUGACAUUCAGCUGUCCCCCAAACAGGUUGGCUGAUAGCCCUGCCCGUCCUUGAAGAGGGGCCGAGGGCUGUCUAAAAAGACAGUUCUGAUGACUGCUUCGUUGCUAGUGGCAGAGGAUUUGGGGCACAGGGGUGGAGUUAAGUCCAAUUGCUGUUUAAAUUGGACUUGGCCUCCUUUAUUUUACAGUCCUAAGGGGUCUCCAUAGGAGAAAAAGUAGCGAGAGCAACUUAGAACACAGGAAAGCAAGCAUAGGGAAGAGUUUCUUGUCUCAAUCUUGGUACUGCCGUGCCAAAAUGAAGCCCAGGGAUGGUUAAAAACGGAUCCUAGGGACCGGGCACCUUGGCUCAGGCCUGUAAUCCCAGCACUUUGGGAGAUCAAGAUGGGAGGAUUGCUUGAGGCUAGGAGUUCGAGACCAGCCUGGCCAACAUAGUGAGACCUCAUCUCCAAAAAUAAAAACUUAAAAAAAAAUUUAAAAAACAAAAACAAAAAUACAGAUCCUAGGGAACAGAGCUUUGAGGUUCCCUGUGGGAUCUUGGCCUGACUCUUGGGAGAUGAAGAAGUCCUUGGCAAGUUUGAAAAGAUCUACAAGUGCCAUCUAUUCAGGGGACUAAAUGUGAUUUCUUUUCACCGCCCAGUGGCUGGUAAGGAAGGAAGCAUUUUGCAUUUUCAGCUUGUAGGAUGGUUAUUGGUGGUCCUACCAUCUUGCUCAUGUUCAAGUUUGGUCGUGUAGAUGAAGACCCCAGCUUCCCAGCUCUUAGUUUUUCUUUUCCCUCAGGCCAUUCAUAAUUUAGCUAACAUUCUAGUCCAUUGACCAGCAUGCAUUUUGAAAGGUGAGCUGGCAAGCCUGUAACUGUGUGCAAGGUUGUUCUCAUUUAGGCUCCAGGAAGGAUAUAGUUUCCCCAUAAGAAAGAAAAGUGGGCGAGAGGCUGAGGUGGGAGGUCGCUUGAGUCCGGGAGGCAAAGAUUGCAGUGAGCUGAGAACCAUGCCACUCACUGCCUUCCAGCUUGGGUGACAGAGUGAGACCCCAUCUCGAAAAAAAAGAAAAAAAAGAAAAAGAAAGAAAGAAAAAAAUAAAUAAAACAAGGAACUAUUUAUAUUAAUCUUUUAAUGAAGGAUUUACCAAUCUGAUAAGUACAAAGCUCCUUUUCCUCCUUCUGAAUGAGUAACUAUGUCAGUCAAUGUUGAGGGUCUGCAGAACCUAUACAAAAAUGCUUUCUUUGGUCUCUCAGUUUUAACACAUGCUGGGGCUUGGGCCUGCCUCUGACAGACUGGGGAGGAGUAGACACAUUCCAGAGACCAGGUCUUGGAGUGUUAUCUCUUCCCCCACCUCAAAUCCUCACCCUCCACUUUAUCUGUCUUUAGCACGAAUGCAGAGACCUCCUAGGGAAGUGUGAAGGGAUGGGUUUUCGUCAGGUUUGGGGAAGGAAGGGGAAUAAGAUGAGCCCCAAAGAAAGAUGGGGGUCAUUUGGAAUUUUUAGAUGACACUCUUUUGUUAUACUUUUCUUGUGUUGUGUAUUAUGUCCUACAAAUCGUGCAUUUGUUACAGUAAGCCACAGUGUGUAUGUGUGUUUGCCAAGUGCUACUUGGCCAAAACAGUGUUAAAUAAAAUUGUAAGAAAUGCU
RNAcentral lists this long non-coding RNA (13046 nucleotides) under Pan troglodytes (chimpanzee). RNAcentral's name for it is "long non-coding RNA NONPTRT006742". Lineage: Eukaryota; Metazoa; Chordata; Mammalia; Primates; Hominidae. The record is from RNAcentral.